RNAcentral lists this ribosomal RNA (429 nucleotides) under Verrucomicrobiota bacterium. Its description in RNAcentral is "Verrucomicrobia bacterium partial 16S ribosomal RNA". It matches the Rfam family "Bacterial small subunit ribosomal RNA", at positions 355 to 776 of the family's 1533-position model. The record is from RNAcentral. Lineage: Bacteria; Pseudomonadati; Verrucomicrobiota.
UAGGGAAUCUUCCGCAAUGGACGAAAGUCUGACGGAGCAACGCCGCGUGAGUGAAGAAGGAUUUCGGUUCGUAAAACUCUGUUGGUAGGGAAGAAAAAAUGUAUAGUAACUAUAUACAAAAGAGACGGUACCUAACCAGAAAGCCACGGCUAACUACGUGCCAGCAGCCGCGGUAAUACGUAGGUGGCAAGCGUUGUCCGGAAUUAUUUGGCGUAAAGCGCGCGCAGGUGGUUUAGAAAGUCUGAUGUGAAAGCCCACGGCUCAACCGUGGAGGGUCAUUGGAAACUAAUAAACUUGAGUGCAGGAGAGAAACGUGGAAUUCCUAGUGUAGCGGUGAAAUGCGUAGAGAUUAGGAGGAACGCCGGUAGCGAAAGCGGCUUUUUGGCCUGCAACUGACACUGAGGCGCGAAAGCGUGGGGAGCAAACAGG